UACGAAGGGGGCUAGCGUUGCUCGGAAUCACUGGGCGUAAAGGGUGCGUAGGCGGGUCUUUAAGUCAGGGGUGAAAUCCUGGAGCUCAACUCCAGAACUGCCUUCGAUACUGGCGAUCUUGAGUCCGGAAGAGGUGAGUGGAACUCCUAGUGUAGAGGUGGAAUUCGUAGAUAUUAGGAAGAACACCAGUGGCGAAGGCGGCUCACUGGUCCGGUACUGGACGCUGAGGUGCGAAAGCGUGGGGAGCAACAGG
This 253-nucleotide ribosomal RNA is filed under the name uncultured bacterium. Its description in RNAcentral is "partial 16S ribosomal RNA". It matches the Rfam family "Bacterial small subunit ribosomal RNA", at positions 524 to 775 of the family's 1533-position model. The record is from RNAcentral.